AUGGAAAAUAGAGGCCAGUUAACACAAAGAAGCAAAAACAAACAAACAAAAAACACAACAAAGACUCCAUGGCACAAGAGGAGAGAAGACAGAGACAUUGCUGCAACCAGCACCACCUGCACAGCACAGCCAGCUUGUCGGCUGGGAGCUGCCAUCUUACCAUCUGAAGAACUAAGGUUUCAGCGAUGCAACUUGAGCGAAGUGCUUUGGGUAGAACUUUCACAUGUGGGGAUGAGUCUAGAAUCUGUAAGCUUCCUCGUGAGAAGAGUUCUGUUCACACAGUAAGGCAGAAAGGAAAAAAUUCUUCCUAUACUGGGUCCUUGUGAAAGGAAAUAAAGUGAAGUAAUAAAGGAUGAAAAAUCUAAAU
Molecule: long non-coding RNA, 367 nt
Filed under: Oryctolagus cuniculus (rabbit)
Lineage: Eukaryota; Metazoa; Chordata; Mammalia; Lagomorpha; Leporidae
Description: lncRNA (ENSOCUG00000036389.1)
Source: RNAcentral